Molecule: ribosomal RNA, 491 nt
Filed under: uncultured bacterium
Lineage: Bacteria
Description: partial 16S ribosomal RNA
Rfam family: Bacterial small subunit ribosomal RNA
Source: RNAcentral
AGUGAACGCUGGCGGUAGGCCUAACACAUGCAUGUCGAACGGCAGCACAGUAAGAGCUUGCUCUUACGGGUGGCGAGUGGCGGACGGGUGAGGAAUACAUCGGAAUCUACUUUUUCGUGGGGGAUAACGUAGGGAAACUUACGCUAAUACCGCAUACGACCUACGGGUGAAAGCAGGGGAUCUUCGGACCUUGCGCGAUUGAAUGAGCCGAUGUCGGAUUAGCUAGUUGGCGGGGUAAAGGCCCACCAAGGCGACGAUCCGUAGCUGGUCUGAGAGGAUGAUCAGCCACACUGGAACUGAGACACGGUCCAGACUCCUACGGGAGGCAGCAGUGGGGAAUAUUGGACAAUGGGCGCAAGCCUGAUCCAGCCAUACCGCGUGGGUGAAGAAGGCCUGCGGGUUGUAAAGCCCUUUUGUUGGGAAAGAAAAGCAGCAGGCUAAUACCCCGCUGUUCUGACGGUACCCAAAGAAUAAGCACCGGCUAACUUCGU